AUGGUGAAAGGCCAAAUUAAUGUUUCGCUCAAUAAAAGAAGGGGUAUGUACGUCCUUGUUGUUGUCAGAACAUGCAAGCACAGUGAGGCAUUUGGUUAGAGUGUGUGUGUGUUCAAGAAACUUUGAAGAACAAAAUAAUGAAGAGGCAAAAGCCAUCCGGGGCGCAAUUUAGGAAGAAAAGAAAGGAAGAAGAAAAGAAACGUGCAAAGGAGAAAGGGUCAACACACGACUCCUUCAUCGUGCGUAAUUGCAGCGUUGGGAACCGACUGGAGGAUGGAGCAGGCAGAGACGGCUGGCUUCUAGGUGACCGAGGUUAUCCUCUGAAGCCAUGGCUUCUCACCCCGAUUGCGCUCACUGAGACCG
This is a long non-coding RNA of Clupea harengus (Atlantic herring), 363 nucleotides long. The record is from Ensembl. Lineage: Eukaryota; Metazoa; Chordata; Actinopteri; Clupeiformes; Clupeidae.